This 168-nucleotide unclassified non-coding RNA is filed under the name uncultured fungus. RNAcentral describes it as "sequence contains ITS1, 5.8S rRNA gene". The record is from RNAcentral. Lineage: Eukaryota; Fungi.
CAGAGUUCAUGCCCUUACGGGUAGAUCUCCCACCCUAUGUUAUUAUUACUUUGUUGCUUUGGCGGGCCGUUAGGCUCUUGGCCCGACUACCGGCUUAGGCUGGUAAGUGCCCGCCAGAGGACCCUAAACUCUGAAUAUUUUUGUCGUCUGAGUACUAUAUAAUAGUUA